AUGUCGCAGCAGGAUCCAGCUGCGGCCGGGGAGGAGCUGCCGGGGGGCCUCUCGCGGAGCAGCUCCGCCAGCCGGCUCAACGCGCAGGCGCCGGAAUUCGUGCCGCGUGUCGCCGCGGCGCCGCCGCCCCCCGCGCCGGUGCAGCCCGUGAUCCACGUCUUCGCCGCGCCGCCCCCGCCGCCGCCCGCGUCGUUCUUCGCCGCGGGCCCGCCCCCGCCCCCGCCCCGGCCGCCGUUCGAGUUUUACGCGGCGGUCGGUGCUGCUGGCCCGGGCUUCGUUGCCGUGCCCGAGCAUGAGAUGGGGGCCGAGCAAGCGGUGCCGCCGCCGCCACCGCCGGCACAGGCUCACCAGCAGGGGAGAGAGCUGACUACGGACGACGUGCUGCACAAGAUCACCAAGCAGGUGGAGUAUUACUUCAGUGAUAUAAACCUGGCCACUACAGAACAUUUGAUGAGGUUUAUUUCUAAGGAUCCUGAAGGAUAUGUACCGAUGUCAGUUGUUGCUUCCUUUAAGAAAAUUAAGGCUCUGGUGCAAAAUAGUUCCAUGCUUGCUUCAGCUCUUCGAACUUCAUCAAAGCUUGUGGUUAGUGAAGAUGGAAACAGAGUAAAGCGUGUACAGCCAUUUACAGAAUCAGAUUUAGAGGAACUACAGGCCCGAAUUGUUGUUGCAGAAAAUCUUCCAGAUGAUCAUUGUUACCAGAACCUUAUGAAGAUUUUCUCAUCUGUUGGCAGUGUAAAGACAAUCAGGACAUGCUAUCCUCAGACCCCAAAUGGCAGUGGUCCAGUUACUAAUAGAUCUGCUAAACUAGAUAUGCUUUUUGCCAACAAGCUGCACGCUUUUGUUGAGUAUGAGACUAUUGAGGAUGCUGAAAAAGCGAUUGUGGUGCUUAAUGAUGAGAGGAACUGGAGAAGCGGGCUUAGAGUUCGGUUGUUGAAUUCUUGCAUGGCUAAGGGAGGCAAAGGUAAGAAGGGUGGGCAUGAAACUGAUGUACAUGGUGAGGAGGAUGUUUCCACUUCUGAUCAACCAAAUGAUAAACAUUCAGAAGAAACAUCUCAACCGUCAGAUGCAAUAGGAGAGCAUGUUUCCGAGGAGAGCACUGGAGAUACAGGCCGUGGGCGUGGCAGAGGCCGAGGGCGUGGAGGUAGAGGCAGAGGGCGUGGCUACCAUAACAACAAUCAAUACCACCAUAACAACCAUCCGCAGCAGCAGCAGCACUACCAAAACAGCAACAAUCAAGGUAACAACAACCGGAGUGGCGCCCAUCCUGUCGGAACCCCGCCUUCCAGCCACCCAGUGAAGGCCGAGCAGCAGCAGACACAGUCAUCGCCUCCCGCGGGAGCGAACAAACAGCUUCCAGGGCCGCGUAUGCCAGACGGCACCCGUGGGUUCUCAAUGGGCAGAGGAAUGCCGCAAACAUCGACGCCCAGCAUAUCGACUAGUGAACCUUGA
RNAcentral lists this ribosomal RNA (1449 nucleotides) under Triticum aestivum (bread wheat). RNAcentral describes it as "partial small subunit ribosomal RNA". The record is from RNAcentral. Lineage: Eukaryota; Viridiplantae; Streptophyta; Magnoliopsida; Poales; Poaceae.